UACGUAGGGCGCAAGCGUUGUCCGGAAUUAUUGGGCGUAAAGAGCUCGUAGGCGGUCUGUUGCGUCUGCCGUGAAAACCCGAGGCUUAACCUCGGGCCUGCGGUGGAUACGGGCAGACUAGAGGUAGGUAGGGGAGAACGGAAUUCCCGGUGUAGCGGUGAAAUGCGCAGAUAUCGGGAGGAACACCGGUGGCGAAGGCGGUUCUCUGGGCCUUACCUGACGCUGAGGAGCGAAAGCGUGGGGAGCGAACAGG
Molecule: ribosomal RNA, 253 nt
Filed under: uncultured bacterium
Lineage: Bacteria
Description: partial 16S ribosomal RNA
Rfam family: Bacterial small subunit ribosomal RNA
Source: RNAcentral